Molecule: ribosomal RNA, 253 nt
Filed under: uncultured bacterium
Lineage: Bacteria
Description: partial 16S ribosomal RNA
Rfam family: Bacterial small subunit ribosomal RNA
Source: RNAcentral
UACGGGGGGGGCAAGCGUUGUUCGGAAUUACUGGGCGUAAAGGGCUCGUAGGCGGCCAACUAAGUCAUACGUGAAAUCCCUCGGCUUAACCGGGGAACUGCGUCUGAUACUGGAUGGCUUGAGUUCGGGAGAGGGAUGCGGAAUUCCAGGUGUAGCGGUGAAAUGCGCAGAUAUCAGGAGGAACACCGGUGGCGAAGGCGGAUCUCUGGGCCUUACCUGACGCUCAGGCACGAAAGCUAGGGGAGCGAACAGG